Mus caroli (Ryukyu mouse) is the source of this 1305-nucleotide non-coding RNA. The record is from RefSeq and is a predicted model, not a curated record. NCBI's taxonomy places the organism in Eukaryota, Metazoa, Chordata, Mammalia, Rodentia, Muridae.
CCGGAAGGGUCAGAGGAAGGAACAGAGAGUAAACCGUGCACACUCAGAGAAGCCGUCACCAGAGGACCCGUCACCAAGGGAAGAAGAGAAGGGAAUGAACCCAGCCUGAGAAUCAAGGUGAUCCACCAAGCGGUACCUUCAGAUUCCAUUUAACUCCUUCCUGGCUGCACCUCCAGAAGCAGACAGAGCAGAAAGAUGGGUGACCUGCUCUGAAGCUGUGUUUCCUGGUCCAGCAAGUGUUUGGAAAGGAAUUCCUGGAGAUUGCUUCAAAGUAACACAGACUGUAGCAGUUAGCAGGGCCUCAAGAGGAAGGAAAAGGAAAAAAGGUCUGUCUGCAGAUGGAUGUUCCCCGUGCUGUUCCUUUCCUUCACACAGCUUCAGGCUUCUCGGGUGUGGUAAGAAAUUGGGAUCUGCAGGAGAAUGUUCAGAGGACACAGACAGGAGUACUAAGCCUUCAAGAACCAAGCCUGUUUGGCUAUUCUGGGUCCCGGGAGGCUCUGCUCUACACAGCUGGAGUUCUGGUGAGGGCUGCUCUGGUCAGUGAGCAGUUGGGCUGGACCACUGGCCACUUAUCAGAACUUCUUUAAAUUCCUCCAGUGUCCUUUAAGGGUUUGAAAACAGACUUUACACUUCUUUUGUCAACUUCAUUCCUUGAUGUUUUAUGGAUUUUGAGUGCUAUUUUAAGCAGGCUUUUUCCUCUUGACAUUUUUGUGUGUGGAUCACCUGUAGCCUGUGUACAGACCACACUGGCUCUUGAAUAUUGAUCUUGUCUCCUGCAAUCUUACAGAACUCAGUGGCUCUGACAGAUUUCUAGGGGAUUCCUGGAGACUUUUUAUGACUCAAGGCCUGCCAUCUACAAACAAAGAGUUUCCCUUCUUGCUUCCCAAUAUGGGUGGUCUUUCAUGUUCUUUUCUUGCCUAACUGUCUGGCUGCUCUUCCAGGACCUUGGUGAAUGGAAGUGCCAAGAGGGGACACGCUUGCCCUGUCCCUGACCUCAUGGGGAGAAGCCAGCCACUCACGAAGAUUAGCUCUCCGGUUUCCAAAAAUGCCAUUUUCUAAGUUGAUGAAGUUCUUUCUGGGGGAGUAUGGGUUUUGUCAAAGGCAUUUUCUGGGCCUGUUGAAAAGUCUAUGUGAUAUCUUUAUUCUAUUGAUAUAGUGCGUUGCAUUGUUUUUGGAUGGUAAGUCAACCAUGCUGCCCUGGAGUAACUCUCACUCGCUCAUGGUAUAUAUAAUCUCUCCGACAUGUGGCUAGAUUUUGGUUGCUGUUUGUUGUUGUUGUUGUUUUGGUUUACUGCCAGUCAGGGU